UUUAAUUCGAAGCAACGCGCAGAACCUUACCAGCCUUUGACAUGUCCCGUAUGGACCUUGGAGACAGGGUCCUUCAGUUCGGCUGGCGGGAACACAGGUGCUGCAUGGCUGUCGUCAGCUCGUGUCGUGAGAUGUUGGGUUAAGUCCCGCAACGAGCGCAACCCUCGCCCUUAGUUGCCAUCAUUAGGUUGGGCACUCUAAGGGGACUGCCGGUGAUAAGCCGAGAGGAAGGUGGGGAUGACGUCAAGUCCUCAUGGCCCUUACGGGCUGGGCUACACACGUGCUACAAUGGCGGUGACAAAGGGCAGCGAACCCGCGAGGGGGAGCUAAUCCUUAAAAGCCGUCUCAGUUCAGAUUGCACUCUGCAACUCGAGUGCAUGAAGGCGGAAUCGCUAGUAAUCGUGGAUCAGAACGCCA
Molecule: ribosomal RNA, 417 nt
Filed under: uncultured bacterium
Lineage: Bacteria
Description: bacterial SSU rRNA
Rfam family: Bacterial small subunit ribosomal RNA
Source: RNAcentral